UCCAGGAUAGCCUAGUGGACAAGGCACCUGCCCGGUAAGCAGAAGGUUGUGGGUUCGAUUCUCGCUCCUGGAC
Molecule: non-coding RNA, 73 nt
Organism: Cordylochernes scorpioides
Lineage: Eukaryota; Metazoa; Arthropoda; Arachnida; Pseudoscorpiones; Chernetidae
Source: the annotation of a GenBank genome assembly